This 890-nucleotide ribosomal RNA is filed under the name Pseudoalteromonas sp. R4M8. Its description in RNAcentral is "bacterial SSU rRNA". It matches the Rfam family "Bacterial small subunit ribosomal RNA", at positions 110 to 1003 of the family's 1533-position model. The record is from RNAcentral. Lineage: Bacteria; Pseudomonadati; Pseudomonadota; Gammaproteobacteria; Alteromonadales; Pseudoalteromonadaceae.
GUAAUGCUUGGGAAUAUGCCUUAGGGUGGGGGACAACAGUUGGAAACGACUGCUAAUACCGCAUAACGUCUACGGACCAAAGGGGGCUUCGGCUCUCGCCCUUAGAUUAGCCCAAGUGGGAUUAGCUAGUUGGUGAGGUAAUGGCUCACCAAGGCGACGAUCCCUAGCUGGUUUGAGAGGAUGAUCAGCCACACUGGAACUGAGACACGGUCCAGACUCCUACGGGAGGCAGCAGUGGGGAAUAUUGCACAAUGGGCGCAAGCCUGAUGCAGCCAUGCCGCGUGUGUGAAGAAGGCCUUAGGGUUGUAAAGCACUUUCAGUAAGGAGGAAAGGUUAGUAGUUAAUACCUGCUAGCUGUGACGUUACUUACAGAAGAAGCACCGGCUAACUCCGUGCCAGCAGCCGCGGUAAUACGGAGGGUGCGAGCGUUAAUCGGAAUUACUGGGCGUAAAGCGUACGCAGGCGGUUUGUUAAGCGAGAUGUGAAAGCCCCGGGCUCAACCUGGGAACUGCAUUUCGAACUGGCAAACUAGAGUAUGAUAGAGGGUGGUAGAAUUUCAGGUGUAGCGGUGAAAUGCGUAGAGAUCUGAAGGAAUACCGAUGGCGAAGGCAGCCACCUGGGUCAAUACUGACGCUCAUGUACGAAAGCGUGGGGAGCAAACGGGAUUAGAUACCCCGGUAGUCCACGCCGUAAACGAUGUCUACUAGGAGCUGGGGUCUUCGGACAACUUUUCCAAAGCUAACGCAUUAAGUAGACCGCCUGGGGAGUACGGCCGCAAGGUUAAAACUCAAAUGAAUUGACGGGGGCCCGCACAAGCGGUGGAGCAUGUGGUUUAAUUCGAUGCAACGCGAAGAACCUUACCUACACUUGACAUACAGAGAACUUACCAG